UGUUUAAGGAUUCAGCACAGGAGUGUAC
Molecule: small RNA, 28 nt
Filed under: Bombyx mori (domestic silkworm)
Lineage: Eukaryota; Metazoa; Arthropoda; Insecta; Lepidoptera; Bombycidae
Description: ovarian small RNA-36211
Source: RNAcentral